AUGGUGGAGGAACCGUCCGCCAAGCGUCAUCAUGGCGAGACGUCGACCAAGAGCAGCAACCUCGUCAACGUUCACGUCCCCGGCGAGAAGUGCGAGUACACCAAAACCCUCACAGGGCUUGAGCUCCACGGCAAGAAGACACUGGAGAUCAUCUGCACCAGCGAACCAGACAAGGCCGACGAGAUGAUCUCCAGGCUCUGGAGGAAAGCUGGUGGCUCGCAUCAUAAGAUCAUCAGCCUUGGUGUGCACUACACCAAGGAAGACGAACCUACCAAGAUGAUAGCAGUCUUGCAGUUGUGCGUGGAGGAACUAUGCCUGGUGUACCACAUCACAGCGGCCACGAAAUGGUGA
Molecule: ribosomal RNA, 351 nt
Filed under: Triticum aestivum (bread wheat)
Lineage: Eukaryota; Viridiplantae; Streptophyta; Magnoliopsida; Poales; Poaceae
Description: partial small subunit ribosomal RNA
Source: RNAcentral